This 391-nucleotide unclassified non-coding RNA is filed under the name soil metagenome. Its description in RNAcentral is "partial contains 5.8S ribosomal RNA, internal transcribed spacer 2, and large subunit ribosomal RNA". The stretch from base 1 to 122 matches the Rfam family "5.8S ribosomal RNA", at positions 35 to 154 of the family's 154-position model. The record is from RNAcentral.
GAUGAAGAACGCAGCGAAAUGCGAUACUUGGUGUGAAUUGCAGAAUCCCGUGAACCAUCGAGUCUUUGAACGCAAGUUGCGCCCGAAGCCAUUAGGCCGAGGGCACGCCUGCCUGGGCGUCACACGUCGUUGCCCCCCCAUCUACUCCUUCGGGAUUGCGGGGGGCGGAUGAUGGCCUCCCGUGCGCCUCGUCGCGCGGUUGGCAUAAAUGCCAAGUCCUCGGCGACGCACGCCACGACAAUCGGUGGUUGCGAAACCUCGGUUGCCCGUCGUGUGCGGUCGUCGCGCAUCGAGGGCUCGAAAAAAUUGCCGGGCUCCGGCUCGACUUUCAACGCGACCACAGGUCAGGCGGGGUUACCCGCUGAAUUUAAGCAUAUCAAUAAGCGGAGGA